CCUACGGGGGACAGCAGUGAGGAAUAUUGGUCAAUGGGCGAGAGCCUGAACCAGCCAAGUCGCGUGAAGGAUGAAGGAUCUAUGGUUUGUAAACUUCUUUUAUAUGGGAAUAAAGUGAGGAACGUGUGCCUGUUUGUAUGGACCAUAUGAAUAAGCAUCGGCUAACUCCGGGCCAGCAGCCGCGGUAAUACGGAGGAUGCGAGCGUUCUCCGGAUUUAUUGGGUUUAAAGGGUGCGUAGGUGGUUAAUUAAGUCAGCGGUGAACGUUUGUGGCUCACCCCUAAAAUUGCCGUUGAAACGGGUUGACUUGCGUAUAUUUGAGGUAGGCGGACUGCGUGGUGUAGCGGU
This 347-nucleotide ribosomal RNA is filed under the name uncultured bacterium. RNAcentral describes it as "partial 16S ribosomal RNA". It matches the Rfam family "Bacterial small subunit ribosomal RNA", at positions 338 to 682 of the family's 1533-position model. The record is from RNAcentral.